Molecule: ribosomal RNA, 1194 nt
Filed under: Sesame phyllody phytoplasma
Lineage: Bacteria; Bacillati; Mycoplasmatota; Mollicutes; Acholeplasmatales; Acholeplasmataceae
Description: bacterial SSU rRNA
Rfam family: Bacterial small subunit ribosomal RNA
Source: RNAcentral
UUUUAAAAGACCUAGUAAUAGGUAUGCUUUAGGAGGGGCUUGCGCCAUAUUAGUUAGUUGGUAGGGUAAUGGCCUACCAAGACGAUGAUGUGUAGCUGGACUGAGAGGUUGAACAGCCACAUUGGGACUGAGACACGGCCCAAACUCCUACGGGAGGCAGCAGUAGGGAAUUUUCGGCAAUGGAGGAAACUCUGACCGAGCAACGCCGCGUGAAUGACGAAGUACUUCGGUAUGUAAAGUUCUUUUAUCAAGGAAGAAAAGCAAAUGGCGAACCAUUUGUUUGCCGGUACUUGAUGAAUAAGCCCCGGCUAAUUAUGUGCCAGCAGCCGCGGUAAGACAUAAGGGGCAAGUGUUAUCCGGAAUUAUUGGGCGUAAAGGGUGCGUAGGCGGUCUAGUAAGUCAGUGGUGUAAUGGCAACGCUUAACGUUGUCCGGCUAUUGAAACUGCUAAACUUGAGUUAGAUAGAGGCGAGUGGAAUUCCAUGUGUAGCGGUAAAAUGCGUAAAUAUAUGGAGGAACACCAGAGGCGUAGGCGGCUCGCUGGGUCUUAACUGACGCUGAGGCACGAAAGCGUGGGGAGCAAACAGGAUUAGAUACCCUGGUAGUCCACGCCGUAAACGAUGAGUACUAAGUGUCGGGUUAAACCGGUACUGAAGUUAACACAUUAAGUACUCCGCCUGAGUAGUACGUACGCAAGUAUGAAACUUAAAGGAAUUGACGGGACUCCGCACAAGCGGUGGAUCAUGUUGUUUAAUUCGAAGAUACCCGAAAAACCUUACCAGGUCUUGACAUGUUUUUGCAAAAUGAUAGUAAUAUCGUGGAGGUUACCAGAAACACAGGUGGUGCAUGGUUGUCGUCAGCUCGUGUCGUGAGAUGUUAGGUUAAGUCCUAAAACGAGCGAAACCCUUAUCGUUAGUUGCCAGCACGUUAUGGUGGGGACUUUAACGAGACUGCCAAUGAUAAAUUGGAGGAAGGUGAGGAUCACGUCAAAUCAGCAUGCCCCUUAUGACCUGGGCUACAAACGUGAUACAAUGGCUGUUACAAAGGGUAGCUGAAACGCAAGUUCUUGGCCAAUCCCCAAAAACAGUCCCAGUCCGGAUUGAAGUCUGCAACUCGACUUCAUGAAGUUGGAAUCGCUAGUAAUCGCGAAUCAGCAUGUCGCGGUGAAUACGUUCUCGGGGUUUGUACACACCGC